CCUGAGAAACCCGAAAGUUCGAAAGGAGAAAUUCAUUCGCGUUUCGACGUGAGCGUUUAGCGGUGUGUUUUGACAAAACGACGGCCCUUGUGGUUACAGUUUUGCGACCUCCGUUUUUCGAUCUUGCAACGAACGCGUGCACUUUUCUCCUAGUAGGACGUCGCGAUCCGUUGGGUGUCGAUUUACGAAUGCUGCAGUGGAGCCCGUUUGUUCCAGCAGAUUUCGAUCUGUUGCCUUUACUCACGGACCUGUACAUUCCAAUCGGCCCGCUCGACGGUAUCAUAGUGAAAGGUUGUGAGCCGCUCUAGUAGCAUUCGAUCCAUUGCAAGCACGCUAGUGUAUUUGGUCAUCGGACCUAGUGCCGAUUCCAAUUCCUAACGACUGUUAGCUUUGAUGUUCUCGAAUAGACUCUAAACCGAUCUGCGACGCUAUUGCUUUGGGUAAUUUCAGGGCCCGUCUUGAAACACGGACCAAGGAGUCUAGCAUGUACGCGAGUCAUUGGGCUUUGCAACCCCAAAGGCGCAAUGAAAGUAAAGAUCUUUCUUCGCGGAUCGAUCUAAGGGAAGAUGAGGAGCUUGGUCCUUUGAUCUGCUUCUUCGCAUUCCCAGGGCGUCUCAUUCUCAUUGCGAGAGGAGGCGCACCAAGAGCGUACACGCUGGGACCCGAAAGAUGGUGAACUAUGCCUG
This 686-nucleotide ribosomal RNA is filed under the name Scolytodes borealis. RNAcentral's name for it is "partial large subunit ribosomal RNA". It matches the Rfam family "Eukaryotic large subunit ribosomal RNA", at positions 386 to 839 of the family's 3401-position model. The record is from RNAcentral. Lineage: Eukaryota; Metazoa; Arthropoda; Insecta; Coleoptera; Curculionidae.